GCGUGAGUGAUGAAGGCCUUCGGGUUGUAAAACUCUUUCGACGGGGACGAUAAUGACGGUACCCGUAGAAGAAGCUCCGGCUAACUUCGUGCCAGCAGCCGCGGUAAUACGAAGGGGGCUAGCGUUGUUCGGAUUUACUGGGCGUAAAGCGCACGUAGGCGGGUCGUUAAGUCAGGGGUGAAAUCCCGGAGCUCAACUCCGGAACUGCCUUUGAUACUGGCGACCUUGAGGCUGGAAGAGGUUAGUGGAAUUCCCAGUGUAGAGGUGAAAUUCGU
This 275-nucleotide ribosomal RNA is filed under the name uncultured bacterium. Its description in RNAcentral is "partial 16S ribosomal RNA". It matches the Rfam family "Bacterial small subunit ribosomal RNA", at positions 399 to 691 of the family's 1533-position model. The record is from RNAcentral.